AAAAGAGGAGUGGUGAACGGGUGAGUAACACGUGGGUAACCUGCCCAUCAGAAGGGGAUAACACUUGGAAACAGGUGCUAAUACUGUAUAACAAUCGAAACCGCAUGGUUUUGAUUUGAAAGGCGCUUUCGGGUGUCGCUGAUGGAUGGACCCGCGGUGCAUUAGCUAGUUGGUGAGGUAACGGCUCACCAAGGCCACGAUGCAUAGCCGACCUGAGAGGGUGAUCGGCCACAUUGGGACUGAGACACGGCCCAAACUCCUACGGGAGGCAGCAGUAGGGAAUCUUCGGCAAUGGACGAAAGUCUGACCGAGCAACGCCGCGUGAGUGAAGAAGGUUUUCGGAUCGUAAAACUCUGUUGUUAGAGAAGAACAAGGAUGAGAGUAACUGUUCAUCCCUUGACGGUAUCUAACCAGAAAGCCACGGCUAACUACGUGCCAGCAGCCGCGGUAAUACGUAGGUGGCAAGCGUUGUCCGGAUUUAUUGGGCGUAAAGCGAGCGCAGGCGGUUUCUUAAGUCUGAUGUGAAAGCCCCCGGCUCAACCGGGGAGGGUCAUUGGAAACUGGGAGACUUGAGUGCAGAAGAGGAGAGUGGAAUUCCAUGUGUAGCGGUGAAAUGCG
Molecule: ribosomal RNA, 618 nt
Filed under: uncultured Bacilli bacterium
Lineage: Bacteria; Bacillati; Bacillota; Bacilli
Description: bacterial SSU rRNA
Rfam family: Bacterial small subunit ribosomal RNA
Source: RNAcentral